RNAcentral lists this small RNA (36 nucleotides) under Arabidopsis thaliana (thale cress). RNAcentral's name for it is "ATSL260690". Lineage: Eukaryota; Viridiplantae; Streptophyta; Magnoliopsida; Brassicales; Brassicaceae. The record is from RNAcentral.
GUCGUGUUCUUCUUCUUCGGGACAAAAUUCAAUGCC